This 306-nucleotide ribosomal RNA is filed under the name uncultured bacterium. Its description in RNAcentral is "partial 16S ribosomal RNA". It matches the Rfam family "Bacterial small subunit ribosomal RNA", at positions 507 to 807 of the family's 1533-position model. The record is from RNAcentral.
GACAGCAGCCGCCACGGGAAUACGUAGGUGGCAAGCGUUGUCCGGAAUUAUUGGGCGUAAAGGGCUCGCAGGCGGUUUCUUAAGUCUGAUGUGAAAGCCCCCGGCUCAACCGGGGAGGGUCAUUGGAAACUGGGAAACUUGAGUGCAGAAGAGGAGAGUGGAAUUCCACGUGUAGCGGUGAAAUGCGUAGAGAUGUGGAGGAACACCAGUGGCGAAGGCGACUCUCUGGUCUGGAACUGACGCUGAGGAGCGAAAGCGUGGGGAGCAAACAGGAUUAGAUACCCGUGUAGUCCCUGUCUCUUAUAC